AAGUUUUUGGUGCUGUAAUCGACAUUCGACUAUUUAUAACGAUCUCGAGGACAUUAACAAUCUGCCGCCAACCACAAUUUAUUUGUGUGAUGAUAACAGACAAAUGAUAACAGUAAACUGUAAACUAAGUUCCCUACACAGUAGUACAGUACUGCAGAACGUGACAUAAAAAUUUGCUGAGCAAAUACUUCAAAUGAUAUGUAAAGCUUUGCCAAUGUCGACAACGAUGCUGCUCUCUGUAAAAUAAUCAUCAAUUGUUGUUUCACCAAUUCCAACGACAAUCUGGUUACUCAAGUUCCACUGUGCUGAUGUAUAUCUGUGUUUGCCAGACAAGAAUCCAACUAACAAUGACUUAUGUACUUACCUGCAAGGCGGAAUUGUGUUCUUGUUUUUUUUUUUGCCAUCUAAAGACCAUCUACAUUGAAGCCGCAUGAAAAUACUAAUUGUCAAUUUGAAGAUUGAAGUAAAUUUGAAAAUUGAAGGCCUGAAGACUUGUUGUUUUGGAUUUAAACUUGCUUUAAAAAAGGAAAAGAAAAAACACCUAAUUACUAAGAGGUCAAGACAAUCGUGUUGACCACCAUCAAUAAACUGAAGAUGUUACAGCAUCGAGAAAUCAAGCAAGUGAUGCGUAGUGUUGGUAAGAUAUUCAGGAACAGUGCAGAGUUAUUAAUACCAUUAUUGGGGCAAUUAGAGUCUAUUCUAAAACUCGAGGGAGGGACAACUCUGUCAACUGUAUACCUUAAAAAGUACUUAAACACUGACGGUUGAAUACCAAUCAUAGUUUUUUGUAAUGGUACAACAGACAAGCAUAUAAUAACCCGAUUACAAUUUGAUAAAAAAAAAAAUUUUGCAUAUCACUUAUAGUGAUUACAACGAUAAUUAUUUCAAUUAAAAACUUCUUGACAUAACAGAAUCUCAUCCAAAAAACAGGAGAAUGCUAAAUUUAAUGGAAACUCAUGAUCUAAUUUGUUUAGUAAACCAUAAAAUCCAUAGUCACGACCCAAUAGCCGAUGUUACUAUUAUCAAAUGCAUAUUUAACUACAUUAUAAAGGAUAUGGGACCAAUACAAUUAGAUAAACUAUGUAAGACGAAUCUAAAUUAAAAUAUAUGUUCUAAUUAAAGAAUUUAAGUUAAAUAGUUUAGACUAUACCUAUAACUGGGAGCCAGAGGGUUCAAUGAGAUUCUUCACAUUUGAAUAGACAUGCUUUAGUUAGAAAAUUAAACUUUAAAAAACAAUAAAAGUAAACUAAAUAAAUAACAAUAAAAUUAAACUUUAAAUAACAAUAAUUAUUUAUUUAACACGUUGACGAUGUAGGGAGUCACUGGUGACACCCAAAUAGUUUUUUUUUCUAAACGGUGGGUGUCACCGGUGACUCCCAUAUAAUUUGUCACUUCAGUCAACUUCCCAAUUUGAAAAUGCAAUUAUAUUGUAAGUUAAGGUAUUUUUCCAUUCCAUUAUUUGUAGACGAGGGUGUCACCGGUGACACCCGCAAAUAUUAUUACAGAAAUGUGUUCACCUCAGUCAGACAAAUCGACUGAUACCAAAAUUGUCUACUAGGUGUCGCUACAAGUGGAUUUUUUACCAUUUUAAUUUUAUAAACAGUAUGAACAGAACAGCAAAAACGGCGCUCGUCGCCAACGUGUUAAAUGAUAAUUUAAAUAAAUAGAGCGGCAUAUGUAUCAGACCAAUAGAUUACAAGAUAGAUAUGCAAAUAUGUAAUAAUGUAUAUAUAUAUAU
Metopolophium dirhodum (rose-grain aphid) is the source of this 1738-nucleotide long non-coding RNA. RefSeq lists it as uncharacterized. The record is from RefSeq and is a predicted model, not a curated record. The transcript has 5 exons. Lineage: Eukaryota; Metazoa; Arthropoda; Insecta; Hemiptera; Aphididae.